Molecule: ribosomal RNA, 301 nt
Filed under: Bacillus haynesii
Lineage: Bacteria; Bacillati; Bacillota; Bacilli; Caryophanales; Bacillaceae
Description: partial 16S ribosomal RNA
Rfam family: Bacterial small subunit ribosomal RNA
Source: RNAcentral
AAGCCGCGAGGCUAAGCCAAUCCCACAAAUCUGUUCUCAGUUCGGAUCGCAGUCUGCAACUCGACUGCGUGAAGCUGGAAUCGCUAGUAAUCGCGGAUCAGCAUGCCGCGGUGAAUACGUUCCCGGGCCUUGUACACACCGCCCGUCACACCACGAGAGUUUGUAACACCCGAAGUCGGUGAGGUAACCUUUUGGAGCCAGCCGCCGAAGGUGGGACAGAUGAUUGGGGUGAAGUCGUAACAAGGUAGCCGUAUCGGAAGGUGCGGCUGGAUCACCUCCUUUCUAAGGAUAUUAUACGGAA